This 402-nucleotide ribosomal RNA is filed under the name uncultured Rhizobiaceae bacterium. Its description in RNAcentral is "bacterial SSU rRNA". It matches the Rfam family "Bacterial small subunit ribosomal RNA", at positions 353 to 772 of the family's 1533-position model. The record is from RNAcentral. Lineage: Bacteria; Pseudomonadati; Pseudomonadota; Alphaproteobacteria; Hyphomicrobiales; Rhizobiaceae.
AGUGGGGAAUAUUGGACAAUGGGCGCAAGCCUGAUCCAGCCAUGCCGCGUGAGUGAUGAAGGCCUUAGGGUUGUAAAGCUCUUUCACCGGAGAAGAUAAUGACGGUAUCCGGAGAAGAAGCCCCGGCUAACUUCGUGCCAGCAGCCGCGGUAAUACGAAGGGGGCUAGCGUUGUUCGGAAUUACUGGGCGUAAAGCGCACGUAGGCGGAUCGAUCAGUCAGGGGUGAAAUCCCGCAGCUCAACUGCGGAACUGCCUUUGAUACUGUCGAUCUAGAGUAUGGAAGAGGUGAGUGGAAUUCCGAGUGUAGAGGUGAAAUUCGUAGAUAUUCGGAGGAACACCAGUGGCGAAGGCGGCUCACUGGUCCAUUACUGACGCUGAGGUGCGAAAGCGUGGGGAGCAAA